AAUCAACGCUGGCGGCGUGCCUAACACAUGCAAGUCGAACGCGAAAGGGGCUUCGGCCCUGAGUAGAGUGGCGAACGGGUGAGUAACACGUGGGUGACCUACCCUCGAGUGGGGGAUAAC
Molecule: ribosomal RNA, 120 nt
Filed under: uncultured bacterium
Lineage: Bacteria
Description: partial 16S ribosomal RNA
Rfam family: Bacterial small subunit ribosomal RNA
Source: RNAcentral